Non-coding RNA from Suillus plorans, 87 nucleotides. NCBI's taxonomy places the organism in Eukaryota, Fungi, Basidiomycota, Agaricomycetes, Boletales, Suillaceae. The record is from the annotation of a RefSeq genome assembly.
GGCCGACUAGCUCAGUUGGUUAGAGCGUCGUGCUAAUACCAAUCUCCUGGUACGCGAAGGUCUUGGGUUCGAUCCCCACGUUGGCCA